Molecule: ribosomal RNA, 428 nt
Filed under: uncultured Lactobacillus sp.
Lineage: Bacteria; Bacillati; Bacillota; Bacilli; Lactobacillales; Lactobacillaceae
Description: bacterial SSU rRNA
Rfam family: Bacterial small subunit ribosomal RNA
Source: RNAcentral
CGUGGGGUAACCUGCCCAAGAGAUCGGGAUAACACCUGGAAACAGAUGCUAAUACCGGAUACAACAGAUGAUGCCUAUCAACUGUUUUAAAAAAGAUGGUUUCUGCUAUCACUCUUGGGAUGGACCUGCGGUGCAUUAGCUAGUUGGUAGGGUAACGGCCUACCAAGGCGAUGAUGCAUAGCCGAGUUGAGAGACUGAUCGGCCACAUUGGGACUGAGACACGGCCCAAACUCCUACGGGAGGCAGCAGUAGGGAAUCUUCCACAAUGGACGCAAGUCUGAUGGAGCAACGCCGCGUGAGUGAAGAAGGGUUUCGGCUCGUAAAGCUCUGUUGUUGGUGAAGAAGGACAGGGGUAGUAACUGACCUUUGUUUGACGGUAAUCAAUUAGAAAGUCACGGGCUAACUACGUGGCAGCAGCCGCGGUAAAU